UACAGAGGGUGCGAGCGUUGUCCGGAAUCACUGGGCGUAAAGGGCGCGUAGGUGGCCUGAUAAGUAGGGGGUGAAAUCUCGAGGCUCAACUUCGAGGCUGCCUCCUAAACUGUCAGGCUUGAGCAGAGUAGAGGCAGGUGGAAUUCCCGGUGUAGCGGUGGAAUGCGUAGAUAUCUGAAGGAACACCGGUGGCGAAGGCGGCAUCCUGGACCAAUACUGACACUGAGGAGCGAAAGCCAGGGGAGCAAACGGG
RNAcentral lists this ribosomal RNA (253 nucleotides) under uncultured bacterium. RNAcentral's name for it is "partial 16S ribosomal RNA". It matches the Rfam family "Bacterial small subunit ribosomal RNA", at positions 524 to 776 of the family's 1533-position model. The record is from RNAcentral.